RNAcentral lists this ribosomal RNA (537 nucleotides) under Sticta harrisii. Its description in RNAcentral is "partial 28S ribosomal RNA". It matches the Rfam family "Eukaryotic large subunit ribosomal RNA", at positions 95 to 646 of the family's 3401-position model. The record is from RNAcentral. Lineage: Eukaryota; Fungi; Ascomycota; Lecanoromycetes; Peltigerales; Lobariaceae.
GAAGCGGCAACAGCUCAAAUUUGAAAUCUGGCCCCUGCGGGGCCCGAGUUGUAAUUUGUAGAGGGUGCUUCGGGCGCGAUGCCGGUCUAAGUUCCUUGGAACAGGACGUCGGAGAGGGUGAGAAUCCCGUAGGCGGCCGGCGAUCAAGCCCGUGCGAAGCCCCUUCGACGAGUCGAGUUGUUUGGGAAUGCAGCUCCAAAUGGGUGGUAAAUUUCAUCUAAAGCUAAAUACCGGCCAGAGACCGAUAGCGGACAAGUAGAGUGAUCGAAAGAUGAAAAGCACUUUGGAAAGAGAGUCAAACAGUACGUGAAAUUGUUGAAAGGGAAGCGCUUGCAAUCAGACCGGUCCGGAGGCGAUCAGCCGCUGCUCGUCAGCGGUGCACUCGCCUGCGAUCCGGCCAGCAUCGGUUUGGGCGGCGGGAGAAAAGCGCCGGGAACGUAGCUCCUCGCGGGGAGUCUUAUAGCCCGGGGCGCAAUGCCGCCCGCCCGGACCGAGGACCGCGCUUCGGCCAGGAUGCUGGCGUAAUGGUUGCAAGCG